GGGAAAGGAAGGAUCGUCCAAAGCAUCCAAGGGGACAGGAUUUGCACCAGGGGUGAAGAAAUUUGGACACCGAUGAUGUAUAUUCAUGCGACAAAUAUCGCUGUCCACCGGUUCAUCGAAGAAAAAUGUCGGACUCUACCGGUGAUACCAUACGCUUCUUCUUCAAACCCUUCUUCCUUUUACCACCCUUAGAAAGCUUUG
RNAcentral lists this unclassified non-coding RNA (201 nucleotides) under Hevea brasiliensis (rubber tree). The record is from RNAcentral. Lineage: Eukaryota; Viridiplantae; Streptophyta; Magnoliopsida; Malpighiales; Euphorbiaceae.